UACGUAGGUGGCAAGCGUUGUCCGGAUUUACUGGGCGUAAAGAGCGCGCAGGCGGUCGUGCAAGUCGCGUGUGAAAGCCCCCGGCUCAACUGGGGAGGGUCACGCGAUACUGUUCGACUCGAAGGCAGGAGAGGGAAGUGGAAUUCCCGGUGUAGUGGUGAAAUGCGUAGAUAUCGGGAGGAACACCAGUGGCGAAGGCGACUUCCUGGCCUGUUCUUGACGCUGAGGCGCGAAAGCUAGGGUAGCAAACGGG
RNAcentral lists this ribosomal RNA (253 nucleotides) under uncultured bacterium. Its description in RNAcentral is "partial 16S ribosomal RNA". It matches the Rfam family "Bacterial small subunit ribosomal RNA", at positions 524 to 776 of the family's 1533-position model. The record is from RNAcentral.